GAGUUUGAUCCUGGCUCAGGAUGAACGCUGGCGGCGUGCUUAACACAUGCAAGUCGAGCGGAGCACAUCGUUGGAAUCCUUCGGGAGGAAGAAGGUGUGGCUUAGCGGCGGACGGGUGAGUAACGCGUGGACAACCUGCCCUAUGCAGGGGGAUAACAUCCGGAAACGGGUGCUAAUACCGCAUAAGCGCACAGUACCGCAUGGUACGGUGUGAAAAGCUGAGGCGGCAUAGGAUGGGUCCGCGUUGGAUUAGGCAGUUGGCGGGGUAACGGCCCACCAAACCGACGAUCCAUAGCCGGCCUGAGAGGGUGGACGGCCACAUUGGGACUGAGACACGGCCCAGACUCCUACGGGAGGCAGCAGUGGGGAAUAUUGCACAAUGGGGGGAACCCUGAUGCAGCGACGCCGCGUGGGUGAGGAAGUACUUCGGUAUGUAAAGCCCUACCAGCAGGGAAGAAAAUGACGGUACCUGACUAAGAAGCCCCGGCUAA
Molecule: ribosomal RNA, 491 nt
Filed under: uncultured bacterium
Lineage: Bacteria
Description: bacterial SSU rRNA
Rfam family: Bacterial small subunit ribosomal RNA
Source: RNAcentral